AUUGAACGCUGGCGGCAUGCCUUACACAUGCAAGUCGAACGGCAGCACGGGAGCAAUCCUGGUGGCGAGUGGCGAACGGGUGAGUAAUAUAUCGGAACGUGCCCAGUCGUGGGGAUAACGUAGCGAAAGCUACGCUAAUACCGCAUACGAUCUAUGGAUGAAAGCGGGGGAUCGCAAGACCUCGCGCGAUUGGAGCGGCCGAUAUCAGAUUAGGUAGUUGGUGAGGUAAAGGCUCACCAAGCCGACGAUCUGUAGCUGGUCUGAGAGGACGACCAGCCACACUGGGACUGAGACACGGCCCAGACUCCUACGGGAGGCAGCAGUGGGGAAUUUUGGGACAAUGGACGCAAGUCUGAUCCAGCCAUUCCGCGUGCAGGAUGAAGGCCCUCGGGUUGUAAACUGCUUUUGUACGGAACGAAAGGUUUCUAUUAAUACUAGGAGCUCAUGACGGUACCGUAAGAAUAAG
Molecule: ribosomal RNA, 466 nt
Filed under: uncultured bacterium
Lineage: Bacteria
Description: bacterial SSU rRNA
Rfam family: Bacterial small subunit ribosomal RNA
Source: RNAcentral